AAACCCAAACAAACACUUAAUUUUGUUCGGAUUUUUAUUUAUUUUUAGCAAUUUUUUUUAUACAUUUUAAUUAAUUUAUUUUACUUUUUAAACACAUCUACAAUGCAUUUAAAAUGGAAAAAAAAUUUAUUAUCAUAUAAAAAAAUUCAUUAAAAACAAACAAAAAAAAUCAUCUUAAAAAUAGGAUUUGAAAAAUUAAACAAAAAAAGCAUAAAUAUCCAUAAUAGGGGUGUGCAGCGGAUGAGCCGACCCGCCACAUCUGCUUGACCAGACCUGACACAUUUUGAGUGGAUGUGUGACAUAUGGCGGGUAGAUACAAGUCCAAAAAUAUCAUUUUUGCGGGUGCAUGUUGGGUUGCAGAUAAACCGCCAAAUUAACUGACUUACGCGACCUGCUUGCCCAAACUUAAUUUUGCCCCCCCAUUUUUCCCUUUGUCUUGCCCCUUUUUUUUCAUUUCAUUUCAGGUUUGUAGAGCCCUAGGUUUCGAAACAACACUGUAUGUCUCUCUCUCUCUCUCUCAUUUGAACGGAGGCAAGCGACGAGCGGCGAUCGGCGACAGUGGUGGCUAGCAACAAUCAGCGAUUGGCGAUAGUGGCGGCGAGCAGCGAUCAAAUCAUCAAUUCGAAGAUGAGCAGUGUUACAGGGAAGGCACCUGCACCAGGUCAGGCCGUAUACUCUGCUUCUAAAUUUGCUCUAAAUGGGAUACUUUCACACCCUGCGCUCUGAGUGCGAUUUGCAGGAACUGUGUUUGAUCAACGGUUGCUGAUGAGGGAUUCGCCAAUUCUACAACGGUUCACGUAGGUCGAUCUCGGGAGAUUAGAGAUCAGAAUCGUUCAUGGUGCACAGAUUUGAGUUGAAACCCUAUGUCGAAAGAGGGAAGAGAAGCUUGCGGAGGCUCUGGAGGAUGAUGAAGUCAUGGAGAGGUAACGGUCGAGGACGAAGUUGACGGAGGGGUUGCCGAAGGCGAAGGUGUUGCCGGCGUUGGAGAAGGUGAUGAUGGCGGCUUCGGUGCCGCACAAGUUGCAGAGCUUGCCGGUCUUCUUAAAGAGGCCAACUGUGGAAAGGAAGAGAGUGGGGAAGAGAGUGGGCAUAAUAGUCAUAUAAAAUAUUUAAAUAAUAAAUUUGUCCUUUAUGCAACACUUUAUAAUUAUGAGGGGGUUUAGAAAGUAUAAUUUUUUUCUUAGUCCUUUUAACAAUGAAAGGAAGGUAAAGGGUGUUUAUAGCCAAAUUUUCCUAUUUUAUAUUCCAAGAUGGGAUAAUUACACUUUGGGGGUGUUUGGGAAGAAAACAAAUAGCCAAAUUUAGGCUAAAAAUCACAAAAAGACAAAAUAGGCUAAAAUAGCUAAUAAGACAAAAUAU
Camellia sinensis is the source of this 1359-nucleotide non-coding RNA. The record is from RefSeq and is a predicted model, not a curated record. Lineage: Eukaryota; Viridiplantae; Streptophyta; Magnoliopsida; Ericales; Theaceae.